RNAcentral lists this ribosomal RNA (508 nucleotides) under Lorica volvox. RNAcentral describes it as "partial 16S ribosomal RNA". It matches the Rfam family "Bacterial large subunit ribosomal RNA", at positions 1816 to 2600 of the family's 2925-position model. Lineage: Eukaryota; Metazoa; Mollusca; Polyplacophora; Chitonida; Loricidae. The record is from RNAcentral.
CGCUCUUUGUAUUAGUUAACUAGGGAGUCGUGCCUGCCCGGUGAGUUUUAAACGGCCGCAGUACCCUGACUGUGCUAAGGUAGCAUAAUCAUUUGUCUUUUAAUUGAAGACUGGAAUGAAUGGCUUGACGAAAAUCUGACUGUCUCUUUUAUGUUAUCUAGAAACUAUUUUUUAGGUGAGGAAACCUAAAUUAAAUCAAAAGACGAAAAGACCCUGUCGAGCUUAAAACUUAUUGAAAAUCUUUAUUAGUUUUGGAAAAACUAUUUAUUUAAAAUGUUUUUUGUUGGGGCGACAGAAGAACAUAUAAAGCUUCUUUUUAUUAAAAAAACUUAUUGGUUAUAAAGAUCCAAUUUUAUUGAAAGAAGAAAAGUUACCGCAGGGAUAACAGCGUUAUUUUUUUGGAGAGUUCAAAUUGAAGAAAAAGUUUGCGACCUCGAUGUUGGAUUAGAAAACCGAGUAGGUGAAGAGGCUUAUUUGUGGAGGUCUGUUCGACCUUUAAAUUUCUACA